This 178-nucleotide antisense RNA is filed under the name Limnoraphis robusta CS-951. Its description in RNAcentral is "Antisense RNA which regulates isiA expression". It matches the Rfam family "Antisense RNA which regulates isiA expression". Lineage: Bacteria; Bacillati; Cyanobacteriota; Cyanophyceae; Oscillatoriales; Sirenicapillariaceae. The record is from Rfam by way of RNAcentral.
GAUAGCCAUAAAUAAUAAACGGAUCAAGGGUAGGAUGGUUAAUUGUGCGAACCGUUUGGGUUGUGGCAUCGUAAAGUCCGCCCCAAAACAUGGCUUUUGCCGCCAACAAUAACGCCCCAGCACCCAAAAAUAACAGGUGAUGCCCUAAAAUAAUCCCCAGUUGUUUGGCGUUGUUCCA